RNAcentral lists this ribosomal RNA (713 nucleotides) under uncultured bacterium. RNAcentral describes it as "bacterial SSU rRNA". It matches the Rfam family "Bacterial small subunit ribosomal RNA", at positions 104 to 828 of the family's 1533-position model. The record is from RNAcentral.
GGCUGAGUAACACGUGGGCAACCUGCCCCCUCCACCGGGACAGCCUCGGGAAACCGUGGGCAAUACCGGAUACUCCGGGACGGCCGCAUGGCCGGCCCGGGAAAGCCCAGACGGGAGGGGAUGGGCCCGCGGCCUGUUAGCUAGUCGGCGGGGUAACGGCCCACCGAGGCGAUUAUGGGUAGCCGGGUUGAGAGACCGACCGGCCAGAUUGGGACUGAGACACGGCCCAGACUCCUACGGGAGGCAGCAGUGGGGAAUCUUGCGCAAUGGGCGGAAGCCUGACGCAGCGACGCCGCGUGCGGGACGAAGGCCUUCGGGUCGUAAACCGCUUUCAGCAGGGACGAGGCCCUCACGGUGACGGUACCUGCAGAAGAAGCCCCGGCUAACUACGUGCCAGCAGCCGCGGUAAUACGUAGGGGGCGAGCGUUAUCCGGAUUCAUUGGGCGUAAAGCGCGCGUAGGCGGCCUGUUAGGUCGGGGGUCAAAUACCGGGGCUCAACCCCGGUCCGCCCCCGAUACCGGCAGGCUUGAGUCUGGUAGGGGAAGGCGGAAUUCCCAGUGUAGCGGUGGAAUGCGCAGAUAUUGGGAAGAACACCGGCGGCGAAGGCGGCCUUCUGGGCCACGACUGACGCUGAGGCGCGAAAGCUAGGGGAGCGAACAGGAUUAGAUACCCUGGUAGUCCUAGCCGUAAACGAUGGACGCUAGGUGUGGGGG